GAUGAACGCUAGCGGCAGGCCUAAUACAUGCAAGUCGGACGGGAUUGAGAAGCUUGCUUUUCAUGAGAGUGGCGCACGGGUGCGUAACACGUAUGUAACCUACCUUAAUCAGGGGGAUAGCCUCUCGAAAGAGAGAUUAACACCGCAUAAAAUCAAUUUAUGGCAUCAUAGAAUGAUCAAAUAUUUAUAGGAUUAAGAUGGGCAUGCGGAACAUUAGCUAGUUGGUAAGGUAACGGCUUACCAAGGCUACGAUGUUUAGGGGAUCUGAGAGGAUGACCCCCCACACUGUGACUGAGACACGGACCAGACUCCUACGAGAGGCAGCAGUAAGGAAUAUUGGUCAAUGGGCGCAAGCCUGAACCAGCCAUGCCGCGUGCAGGAAGACGGCCCUACGGGUUGUAAACUGCUUUUGCACCGGAAUAAACCUUUGUAUGUAUACGAAGCUGAAUGUACGGUAAGAAUAAGGAUCGGCUAACUCCGUGCCAGCAGCCGCCGCCG
RNAcentral lists this ribosomal RNA (498 nucleotides) under uncultured bacterium. RNAcentral describes it as "partial 16S ribosomal RNA". It matches the Rfam family "Bacterial small subunit ribosomal RNA", at positions 28 to 523 of the family's 1533-position model. The record is from RNAcentral.